Molecule: ribosomal RNA, 520 nt
Filed under: Bacillus amyloliquefaciens
Lineage: Bacteria; Bacillati; Bacillota; Bacilli; Caryophanales; Bacillaceae
Description: bacterial SSU rRNA
Rfam family: Bacterial small subunit ribosomal RNA
Source: RNAcentral
GCGGUAAUACGUAGGUGGCAAGCGUUGUCCGGAAUUAUUGGGCGUAAAGGGCUCGCAGGCGGUUUCUUAAGUCUGAUGUGAAAGCCCCCGGCUCAACCGGGGAGGGUCAUUGGAAACUGGGGAACUUGAGUGCAGAAGAGGAGAGUGGAAUUCCACGUGUAGCGGUGAAAUGCGUAGAGAUGUGGAGGAACACCAGUGGCGAAGGCGACUCUCUGGUCUGUAACUGACGCUGAGGAGCGAAAGCGUGGGGAGCGAACAGGAUUAGAUACCCUGGUAGUCCACGCCGUAAACGAUGAGUGCUAAGUGUUAGGGGUUUCCGCCCCUUAGUGCUGCAGCUAACGCAUUAAGCACUCCGCCUGGGGAGUACGGUCGCAAGACUGAAACUCAAAGGAAUUGACGGGGGCCCGCACAAGCGGUGGAGCAUGUGGUUUAAUUCGAAGCAACGCGAGAACCUUACCAGUCUUGACAUCCUCUGACAUCCUAGAGAUAGGACGUCCCCUUCGGGGCAGAGUGACAGUGG